Molecule: ribosomal RNA, 1164 nt
Filed under: Triticum aestivum (bread wheat)
Lineage: Eukaryota; Viridiplantae; Streptophyta; Magnoliopsida; Poales; Poaceae
Description: partial small subunit ribosomal RNA
Source: RNAcentral
AUGCAGAAAGGGCAUCCAAUUGCAUACAUGAGCAAGGCUCUUGGGAUACUUAACUGUAAAAUGUCCAUCUAUGAAAAAGAAUUCCUUGCUGUGAUUAUGGCUGUGGAUAAGUGGCGUCCUUAUUUACAGCGCGGCCCAUUUCAGAUAGUCACCGAUCAUAAGAGCCUCUGCAACCUAGAGGAUCAAAUUUUGACUACUGAUUUGCAACGCAAGGCAAUGGCCAAGCUCGUGGGUUUACAGUUUCAGAUUAAGUACAGAAAGGGCAGUGAUAAUGGUGCUGCUGAUUCCUUGUCUCGAGUGGGCCAUUUACUGGAAGCACAUGCCAUUUCCACCUUGCAACCUGAUUGGGUCCAGGAGGUUUCCAAUUCCUAUGUCACUGACACAGUGGCCACUCAGUUAUUACAAGAGCUGGCAAUUCAAUCACCUAAUGCAAAAGGUUAUGCAUUGAAGAAAGGCCUCAUUACUUACAAAGGCAGAAUGUAUAUUGGUGCAAAUCUUGCCCUACAAACUAAGCUGAUAGCAGCUCACCAUGAUACUGCAGUGGGAGGCCAUUCAGGUAUUCAGGCCACAUACCACAGAUUGAAGCAGCUGUAUUAUUGGCCAGGUCUUAAGGUUGCUGUGGAAAAUUAUAUCCAUCAAUGUAUAGUGUGUCAACAAGCAAAACACACUAAUACAAAACCAGCUGGCCUUCUGCAACCCUUGCCACCCCCCGACAGUCCUUGGAGUGAAUUGACAAUGGAUUUCAUCGAGGGUCUUCCUAAUUCAGAGGGUGCAAAUUCAAUAUUGGUGGUCGUUGACCGCUUAACAAAGUAUGCUCACUUUCUGCCCUUGCAUCAUCCUUUCACAGCAACUUCAGUGGCCAAAGUUUUCCUGGAUAAUGUGGUGAAACUACAUGGUAUUCCCAAAACCAUUAUCUCUGAUCGUGAUAAGAUCUUCACUAGUAAGUUUUGGAGAAACCUCCUGCAAUCCAUGGGUAUUGAGCGAACGAGUAAAUCAAUGUUUGGAGCAGUAUCUUCGUUGUGCUGUACAAGACAAUCCUCGUCAUUGGCGUCGUUGGCUAUCCAUGGCAAAGUUCUGGUACAAUUCCAGUUUUCAUACUGCUCUUCAAUGCUCACCAUUCCAAGCUUUGUAUCACAUCGCCCCAAAUUUUGGAGGAAUGCCUAA